GAAUUCGCCCUUAGAGUUCCUUUCUGGCUCAGGAUGAACGCUGGCGGCGUGCUUAACACAUGCAAGUCGAGCGAGAAAAGUUCUUCGGAACUUUUCUAGCGGCGGACGGGUGAGUAACACGUGGGCAACCUGCCUCAUAGAGGGGAAUAGCCUUCCGAAAGGGAGAUUAAUACCGCAUAACAUUAUUGAAAGGCAUCUUUUAAUAAUCAAAGGAGCAAUCCGCUAUGAGAUGGGCCCGCGGCGCAUUAGCUAGUUGGUGAGGUAACGGCUCACCAAGGCGACGAUGCGUAGCCGACCUGAGAAGGGUGAUCGGCCACAUUAGAACUGAGACACGGUCCAGACUCCUACGGGAGGCAGCAGUGGGGAAUAUUGCACAAUGGGGGAAACCCUGAUGCAGCAACGCCGCGUGAGUGAUGAAGGUCUUCGGAUUGUAAAGCUCUGUCUUUAGGGACGAUAAUGACGGUACCUAAGGAGGAAGCCACGGCUAACUACGUGCCAGCAGCCGCGGUAAUACGUAGGUGGCAAGCGUUAUCCGGAUUUACUGGGCGUAAAGGGAGCGUAGGCGGAUACUUAAGUGGGAUGUGAAAUACCCGAGCUUAACUUGGGAGCUGCAUUCCAAACUGGGUAUCUAGAGUGCAGGAGAGGAGAAUGGAAUUCCUAGUGUAGCGGUGAAAUGCGUAGAGAUUAGGAAGAACACCAGUGGCGAAGGCGAUUCUCUGGACUGUAACUGACGCUGAGGCUCGAAAGCGUGGGGAGCAAACAGGAUUAGAUACCCUGGUAGUCCACGCCGUAAACGAUGA
RNAcentral lists this ribosomal RNA (800 nucleotides) under uncultured bacterium. Its description in RNAcentral is "bacterial SSU rRNA". It matches the Rfam family "Bacterial small subunit ribosomal RNA", at positions 1 to 812 of the family's 1533-position model. The record is from RNAcentral.